Molecule: long non-coding RNA, 933 nt
Filed under: Homo sapiens (human)
Lineage: Eukaryota; Metazoa; Chordata; Mammalia; Primates; Hominidae
Description: TMSB15B antisense RNA 1, transcript variant 2 (TMSB15B-AS1)
Source: RNAcentral
CUUUCCUGUUAAGUGGGCACACUGCUACCUCCUUCACAGGGCUGCUGAGAAGAAAGGAGACAGGCGCAUCCGCACACAGAAAGCACUCAGUAAAUGCUGUUUCCCCCCUUCCCCCUAUACAAAGAGACUGAAAGCAACCGCGGCUGCCCGGAGGUCCGAACUGGAGGGUGGCCGCAGCCGUGACUUCCUUGGGAACCGCGCUGCCUCGACUCGGCUACCUCUCUGCGAAGCACUCGCUAAGCCGGGCAGCCCCGGGGUCGCUUAGCGGCCCAGGAGGCGCCAGCGAUCCUGUUCCCCUGCAGAGCUAUGGGGACCGGAAGGCGAAACAGAGCUGUCGACGCGGGAGCAUACGCUGCCCACCAGUGGAGCGCAGGUCAUCAAAGCCGAAUCCGAAUUUGAAUUCUGUGCGGCUGAUUGCAGAGCUGUCUUGAGGCCCUGAGGACUGGGAUCUGCGACCCCCAGUGGACAAAAGUCGACUCUACCCCAGAGGCUAAUUUUCUCAAGGCAGGCACCUGUUGAGAGGCUGCAAGUAAAAUACAGGGGAACGCUAGUUUCCGAGCUCAUGAGUGCACACAUGCUUCUGUCUUCACAUAUGCACAGCUGAAAGUGAGAUGAUUUCUCUACUCCACAGUUGGGAAGGGGGAUUAGACAACAGAGAAGAUGGAGAAGACAAAAGGGCUUGUGGAAAACUGCAAGUCAACAUUUCUUUGGUAAGGCAGUUACCACACAUGAGCACUGGCUGCCAAGCAAAGACUAUGGUUCACUGAAGAGAACCUGACAGGAGUAGCCACCCCUCUGUUUCAGGCAGUAAUUGCCAUGUGAGACUGUGAUGGUUGUCCAGAUCUUCUGAUUAUUCAAGUAAAGCUGGAAAUUUAGAUUUGUAUUUGAUCCCUCACAUCUUUAAAUGCAGGCAACUAAUUAAAAUUAAAAGAA